CUUUAAACAAAAAGAACAGAGAGCUUCCCUGCUCUCUCCCCCUUUCCCUUCUCUUUUAUUUUCUGCUAGGGUUUCAAAGAAACCCAUCAUUGCCGCCAUUCAACCGCCGCGCCACCACCGCACUCGGUGGUCGGCGAUACACCAAAAUGGGCUCCUUUAGCUCUCCCAUUUUUUACUUGUUGGAGGCUAGUUCCAAAAAUGAAAAGACAAGGGUUCAACCCCCUUUUUAGACUCAACCACGCCGAACGGAGGGGAAGGCUCAGAUAACGCGGCGACUGGGCCGGAUCUGGUGUUGAAGUUGUGGAGAACGAGGGGCGUGAAACAUGGGCGAAAACAUGGAGCAGGGUAUACGGGGAUCCUGUCUGGAGUGCUGACGUGUGGGUUGAGUUUGUAGUCUGCUGAAAAUUUUUGAGAUAGUGGGCUGGUAGGGUUAGUUUAGGUUGUGGGCUGAUG
Molecule: long non-coding RNA, 453 nt
Organism: Gossypium arboreum
Lineage: Eukaryota; Viridiplantae; Streptophyta; Magnoliopsida; Malvales; Malvaceae
Exons: 2
Source: RefSeq, a predicted model, not a curated record